RNAcentral lists this ribosomal RNA (518 nucleotides) under Limosilactobacillus fermentum. Its description in RNAcentral is "partial 16S ribosomal RNA". It matches the Rfam family "Bacterial small subunit ribosomal RNA", at positions 342 to 852 of the family's 1533-position model. Lineage: Bacteria; Bacillati; Bacillota; Bacilli; Lactobacillales; Lactobacillaceae. The record is from RNAcentral.
CGGCAGACAGACAGUAGGGAAUCUUCCACAAUGGGCGCAAGCGUGAUGGAGCAACACCGCGUGAGUGAAGAAGGGUUUCGGCUCGUAAAGCUCUGUUGUUAAAGAAGAACACGUGUGAGAGUAACUGUUCAUACGUGGACGGUAUUUAACCAGAAAGUCACGGCUAAUUACGUGCCACCAGCCGCGGUAAUAGGUGGGUGGCAAGGUUUUUCCGGAUUUUUUGGGGGUAAAGAGAGGGCGGGGGUUUUUUUAAUUUUGAAUGAAAACCCUUUGGUUUAACGGGGGAAGUGCUUGGGAAACGGGAUAACGUGGGGGCGGAGGGGGGUAGGGGAACUCCGUGGGUAGGGGGGGAAUGGGUAGAUAUAUGGAAGACCACCAGGGGGGAGGGGGGUUUCUUGGUCGGAAAUUGACGGUGAGAUUGAAAAGCAGGGGUAGAGAACAGGAUUAGAUACCUUGGUUGUCACAUGCGGAAAAGGAAGAGUGUUAGGUGUGGGGGUUUUCCGCCUUUAAGGCGCGGA